This 282-nucleotide ribosomal RNA is filed under the name uncultured Staphylococcus sp. RNAcentral's name for it is "partial 16S ribosomal RNA". It matches the Rfam family "Bacterial small subunit ribosomal RNA", at positions 81 to 355 of the family's 1533-position model. Lineage: Bacteria; Bacillati; Bacillota; Bacilli; Caryophanales; Staphylococcaceae. The record is from RNAcentral.
CUCCUUUGACGUUAGCGGCGGACGGGUGAGUAACACGUGGGUAACCUACCCUAUAAGACUGGGAUAACUUCGGGAAACCGGAGCUAAUACCGGAUAAUAUUUCGAACCGCAUGGUUCGAUAGUGAAAGGUGGUUUUGCUAUCACUUAUAGAUGGACCCGCGCCGUAUUAGCUAGUUGGUAAGGUAACGGCUUACCAAGGCGACGAUACGUAGCCGACCUGAGAGGGUGAUCGGCCACACUGGAACUGAGACACGGUCCAGACUCCUACGGGAGGCAGCAGCC